CAGGCCUAACACAUGCAAGUCGAGCGAACGGACGAGAAGCUUGCUUCUCUGAUGUUAGCGGCGGACGGGUGAGUAACACGUGGAUAACCUACCUAUAAGACUGGGAUAACUUCGGGAAACCGGAGCUAAUACCGGAUAAUAUUUUGAACCGCAUGGUUCAAAAGUGAAAGACGGUCUUGCUGUCACUUAUAGAUGGAUCCGCGCUGCAUUAGCUAGUUGGUAAGGUAACGGCUUACCAAGGCAACGAUGCAUAGCCGACCUGAGAGGGUGAUCGGCCACACUGGAACUGAGACACGGUCCAGACUCCUACGGGAGGCAGCAGUAGGGAAUCUUCCGCAAUGGGCGAAAGCCUGACGGAGCAACGCCGCGUGAGUGAUGAAGGUCUUCGGAUCGUAAAACUCUGUUAUUAGGGAAGAACA
This 419-nucleotide ribosomal RNA is filed under the name Staphylococcus sp. Lgg15.2. RNAcentral's name for it is "bacterial SSU rRNA". It matches the Rfam family "Bacterial small subunit ribosomal RNA", at positions 43 to 451 of the family's 1533-position model. The record is from RNAcentral. Lineage: Bacteria; Bacillati; Bacillota; Bacilli; Caryophanales; Staphylococcaceae.